Molecule: long non-coding RNA, 673 nt
Organism: Drosophila subpulchrella
Lineage: Eukaryota; Metazoa; Arthropoda; Insecta; Diptera; Drosophilidae
Exons: 3
Source: RefSeq, a predicted model, not a curated record
GUGAUAGUACGACCAAAACACGAGAACGGCAUUACAAAUUUUAAGAACAAGAAACUAAAAUAAUAAAGUCUAAAUGAAAAGUAAAAGUAAAAUAGAAAUGUUGGAAGGAGCAUUUCAGUUGUCGUAGUUAAAAAUAAGAAGCGGUGGGGAAUUUAAAAAUUUUUAAUGGAAGAAAAACCCCAAAAACGGUUAAAGGAGGUCAGUGCAGAUGAAAAAGGACGCCUAAUCCAAGCUGUUGCCCAUUAUUGUGGGACUUGACCGGCAGGAAGCAAUACCAUAACAGGGGCAAAUUGAACUGCUGGAGGAUGCCGAGUGGACUUCGAUCUCCACAUGGACAUCCUCCCGGGCGUGUCCUCGUAAAUAAACAGAACCACCAGUAAUACGAUAUCCGACAACCUCUUCAUUAGGACUCCGGACUCCACCACCAUCAGCUACUUGGCCAGCUUAAGCGGAGCUUGAGGUCCCGCUGGAUUCUGUAGGAAGGAGGAAAAUAGGGCGCCCACUAAAGAAUAGUUGGAGAAGCCAUAGCCAGGAUGCUGGGCGUCUUCCUGCAGUAUCAGCGGAUCAACCCCGUUCCCGAUCCGGCUCCCAUUCCCUCAAGGUACAAUACGCCCAUUGGGAGCAGGACUGCGGUGGCGCGGGAUAGAUGGCGAAGCAUUCGUGGGACAUUAAG